Macrosteles quadrilineatus (aster leafhopper) is the source of this 664-nucleotide long non-coding RNA. RefSeq lists it as uncharacterized. The transcript is spliced from 3 exons. NCBI's taxonomy places the organism in Eukaryota, Metazoa, Arthropoda, Insecta, Hemiptera, Cicadellidae. The record is from RefSeq and is a predicted model, not a curated record.
GUAAUGACAUGACCACAGUGAGGAAACCAAGCAUGAUAACAAUACUGUUGUGAUACACAAGAACAGUUUAAUAACCAUAUCUAACUACAGUAGUGGCUAGUGACAAUAUUGAUUGCUCACUUUGCUCCCCGCGAUCAAAGAUGGUGCAUAGCCGUACAUGAAAUGAAACAAUGCUAGAGGAACCUCAGUGCAGAAGGUGUCGCCAAGAGGAUCAGAUUUAAGUUUUCCGAAGGAGACUAAUACAUAGAGCUAUGUACGAGCCUUCUUUUGCCCUACCGGCUUCAGCAAGAACAAGAAUAUCUACACUACAGGGGCAACUUCUCAAUAUUGCUCAGGUGAAUGGUGACAUGCUACGCAGAUUCACCAAUGGGGAUCAAGCAUCAAUGGCAUCAGCUCUGUGGGGGGAGCUUCGCAAUACUCUGGAGGAUGUACAUGGACAGACUGCAGAACGCAUAGAUAGCCUAAUGACAAACAGGGUUUCACGACCUUCAGGACCUCCGAUCCAAACAGUAGCUUGUGAAGUAUGCUGGAAUUUUGCCCCUUCGAUCGCUCUGGGACCUUGUGUCCACAUCCUCUGCCCUGAUUGUGUAUAGAUUAUACAGAUGUCCAUUUUGUAGGGAGUUUAAAAUUAAAAAGAUUACAAAUUUAUUUCUUUCUGGGUAAA